AAAAAUUUCAUUUUUCUCUCUCAUGGUCCUUAUCUUCUUCUUUAUCUUCCUCCUCUGUUUCUUUUUUUUUUUUACAGAAUCCCGACCAAAUUGUGGUGCCUUUGUGUUUUUGUUUUUGUCUUUGAAUAGUCUGGCUGUAUCGUGGUAAGUGGGAGAAGAACGAUGAACAAGAACGACAUCACUGUGUUUUGUUCCUGAACCUCCUUUUUUCACUGUUAGUCAAUCUAGUAGAGACAAUCGUGGCUCCGGCGGAGGGGAACCUUGCCUACUGUUAAGAAGAUGAGAGGACGACCUACUGGUUCUAGCAAAAGACAAAAGCUUCAAACCUUAUGAAACAUAAAUAAUUGUGUGUUGUUGUUGUUGGUUGAUUGUGUUGGUUGAUUGGAUGAUGAUUAGAACAGAAGAAGCCAUCUACUAAACUUCUUGCUGUCCCCGGAAAAGGAUUUUUCUUGGAUAUCUUUUUGGCGGACCAAGUGAUACUGAAUCGAGAGAAAACAAAAUUGUUAGCCGUUUAACAAUAGGUGUUUGUGGUAUUAAAUAUGUUAGCAAUUUUAAUAAAUUGUUAUACUUUAUUAAAUGUUUCGUGACUUUUGUUUGUUGGACAUGAGAUAUAAUGUUCGUAUAAUAGUUUUUUGUUCAUUUGAAAUGCAGAAUAAUUGUAGCUCAUAUUAGUUGUCUUG
This 680-nucleotide long non-coding RNA is filed under the name Brassica napus (rape). RNAcentral's name for it is "long non-coding RNA (BNAP_LNC008842)". The record is from RNAcentral. Lineage: Eukaryota; Viridiplantae; Streptophyta; Magnoliopsida; Brassicales; Brassicaceae.